AUGUGAUGCUUGGACUUCCAGAUGCACCGAGUCGUACGUGACCAUAACAGCUCAUCACAUUACGGGCGAGUGGAAGUUAGUCUCACACGUGCUGCAAACGCGAGCCAUAUAUGACAGCCACACUGGCGAAAACAUUGCAGGUUUGCUCCGUGGUGCUCUUGAUGAAUGGGGCUUGACUGCUAAAGAUCCCGUUGUCGUCACAGAUAAUGCUGCCAAUAUGGCUGUGGCUGCUAGACUUGCACAGGUUAGCCACAUUCAGUGUUUUGCUCACAGCCUAAACCUAGCCUCACAGAAAGCACUUAAACUACCAUCAGUGGCCAGACUGCUUGGAAGAAUUAGGCGUGUCACUGGCUUUUUUAGGCGCAGUGCAAUAGCCAGUCACCAGCUAAAUCUCAAACAGGACCAACUCCAGCUACCAAAGCACAGGCUGAUUACAGAUGUCGUUACACGCUGGAAUAGCUCCUAUGACAUGACUGAGAGGUUUUUAGAACAGCAACCAGCAAUAUGUGCAGCACUUCUUUCCAAUGAGGUCAGGAAAAAUGAAAAGGAUAUCUUCACAUUGACUGAGUCAGACAUCACAUGUGCAGAAGAGGUCCUGAAAGCUCUGAAGCCUAUGAAAGAUGCCACAUUAGUGAUGUCAGAGGAGAGCAUGCCAACACUGUCACUGAUUGCACCACUUCAUGCCAAGCUCAUCAUGGGCACUGAACGAAGUCCUGAUGAUUCAGAUACAGUCAAGGAUAUUAAGGAAGCAAUAGCACAAGAUCUAAAAAAAAAGAUAUGCAAAUGAAAAGGAGACCCUGUACAUGGCAUCAGCUGUUGACCCUCGGUUCAAGAAUCUACCCUUCCUCCCUGCUGAUGAGGCUGAUGACAUCUACGCACGACUGACUGAAGCUGUGGAGGUUGAGAUACAAAAGCUAACUACUACUUCUACUAUGGUAGCAGCAAGAAGAAGAGGAGGACAAAGAAGACAAUCAACCAGCAACUAACAUCCAGCCACCCAUGAAGAAACCCAGAGCAUCAUGUGCAUUGGCUGAGCUGCUUGGACAAACUUUUUCCUUUGACAAACACCAUCGAGCACAAAAAUCUGCACAUGAUGUUGCAGCAACUGAAGUUAGAAUGUUUAGAGAUGAAACCCCCUUGCCUCUCAGUGAUGACCCUCUUGACUGGUGGAGGAAGCACAUUGCAGAGUAUCCUCACAUAGGUAGAGUAGCAAAGUGUUUCCUCUGCAUCCCUGGUACAAGUGUCUCUGCAGAACGAGUUUUCUCCACUGCAGGAGACAUUGUGUCUGCACAAAGAAGUGUCCUUAAAGCUGGGCAUGUAGAUCAGCUUGUGUUCCUCAACAAGAAUCUUAAGAUGAAGAAAAAAUAAGCUCAGUAGCUCACAUGUUCCAUCCUUUUAGUCAUAGUAGUCAUGUCAUAGGAGCUAUUCCAGGCGUUGGCGUUUGUUAUACUGCAAACAUGUUUUGCUGACGUUGCACUUUUAACAGUGUAGGGUUUUAUAAUAGUUGUCUAACUUGUCUUACUACGUCUACUACAGAUGUACAUAUUCUGCAGAAACACUUGUACCAUGGAUGCAGACAAAACACUUUGUAGUGUACUCUACCUUUUUGAGGAGGAUACUCUACUAUUCCAGGCGUUGGCCUUUGUUUUAUACUGCACAGAUGUUUUGCUGUGCCUGUUGC
This is an RNA transcript of Hyla sarda, 1681 nucleotides long. It is a transcript of the gene named E3 SUMO-protein ligase ZBED1-like, with no coding region annotated. NCBI's taxonomy places the organism in Eukaryota, Metazoa, Chordata, Amphibia, Anura, Hylidae. The record is from RefSeq and is a predicted model, not a curated record. The transcript is spliced from 2 exons.